Long non-coding RNA from Herpailurus yagouaroundi (jaguarundi), 1298 nucleotides. RefSeq lists it as uncharacterized. NCBI's taxonomy places the organism in Eukaryota, Metazoa, Chordata, Mammalia, Carnivora, Felidae. The record is from RefSeq and is a predicted model, not a curated record. The transcript has 6 exons.
CAUUGAAGAUCGAUCAUCUUCUCUAUUAGAUGCCUUCCAUAUCAGCUUAAUAGAAGCAACUUCACUAAUAAAUGACAAUGGUCAGCUUAUUUACAACAUUUCUACUGGAUUUUUUUUCCUCAGGAUUCUCUUCAGAGGAAUAGGAGGAGAGGUUAUAUUCUCUGCAUGAGGACAAGUCUACAGUGUCAAAAUCAAGUAAUAUUUGUCUUCUGACAGCAGAACGUUGUAUCAUAUUUCUAAGGACGCUUCUGCGCAUCCUUGAGGGACAAAAAUGUGACUUCCUGACUUCUCCAAGAGAGGAAAGAGGGAAAUAAUGGCCAAUGAGGUAAUGGGAAUUCUCACCUUUACUAGUUCCAGAAGCAUGACAGAGGUACAGGUUUGGGAGCUAUUUGACAAAGGCUUGAAGCUAUAGUUUGUGAGAAUGACCUUCAGUACUAGAGAGAUAAUGGACAAUAAAUCAAACUUCAUUUUAGUCAAGAUCCAAGGAACCUAUAAUGUCAAAAGUUUCUUCCACUAGUAACCAUGAAUUACCAAGAUAUACUCAAAGGUCUAGUUAAGGAAUUUAUUUUGUGACUGCAUUGAAAACAAACUCCUCAAAUAGCGCCAUCCUUACUGUGCUGUGACCUGUAUACUCCUAACGGUUCAGAAGAGUGAAGAAAGAAACGCUGGAAGAGAAUGUGUUUAAAAAUACACAUUUAACCUGUUCCCCAAAGCCAUACCUAAGAAUUCCCCUUUUGAGUUUGCUUCUGGUUCAUGGGGGCUUCGAGGAAGAUUGUUUCACAUGACUUGGAGAGCGCAAGAAAGGCAGCAGCCAUUUUGUAGCAUGUACACAUCUUCUUGCAGGUAUUCUGCCAAAUACUAAUUUUGGCUUUAUGAAAACCGAGAAAGCCACUGUUCAUGCAGAGUGGAAAUAACGUUGUAAUCCCACUUGGAUCAGUCUUAGUGAGGACCACUAAUUGCAAAACAACUUUCCCCACCAUGGUUGAGGGAGGGCCCAUGGGAAGAGGGCAUCUGACUUAAGCAGGAAGAGGAGGAUCCUCCCUCAGGAUAUUAUGCCUGCAUCGCCAUGCCUUCCCACGUGGUAAAGCCUUGAGAGAAGGGUUGAUAGUGGUCCACACCAUGUCUUCCAUAGUGCGCAAGAAAGUCUGCAGUAAGAGCCAAUAAAGUGACACCACAGGGAGAGGAAAGAAAAGGGCCAGUGAAGGGGGAAACCUGCUAGUUUCGUGGGAGGUUCCAGCUGCCUCUAAGACCCUGACUCUCCUGAGGGUAGCUAAAUUUUGGAUUAUUAUAAAUUGCAU